GUUGGUGAACCAGCGGAGGGAUCAUUACGAAAGGAGUACUCGUACUCUUAAACCCUAUGUGAACAUACCCUUAGUCAGUUGCUUCGGCGGGAGGCCCCUGGGAGGGGCCCCGGGGCCCGGCCUGAGCCGGGCUCCCGCCGGAGGAGCGCAACCAGAACUCUUGCUGUACCCAGUGGCACGUCCGAGUAAACAAACAAAAACAAGUUAAAACUUUCAACAACGGAUCUCUUGGUUCUG
This 237-nucleotide unclassified non-coding RNA is filed under the name rhizosphere metagenome. RNAcentral's name for it is "partial ribosomal RNA internal transcribed spacer region". The record is from RNAcentral.